GGCCAUCAUCUUUCACUGAUGCAAACCGGUUCCACCUGGUGAAGGAAUCAGAGUUGCAAGACAAUGAUUGGAUUCGUCUUUACUUGGAACUUGCACUUGUUUUUCUCGAUAGGAGUCUUACACAUGACCAUCACUCCCACCAUCUCUCCCAGUUGGAGAUUGUGCAAGCGGCGAUUGAAACUACUCAAGAUGACUC
This is a non-coding RNA of Camelina sativa (false flax), 196 nucleotides long. Lineage: Eukaryota; Viridiplantae; Streptophyta; Magnoliopsida; Brassicales; Brassicaceae. The record is from RefSeq and is a predicted model, not a curated record.